Molecule: ribosomal RNA, 497 nt
Filed under: uncultured bacterium
Lineage: Bacteria
Description: partial 16S ribosomal RNA
Rfam family: Bacterial small subunit ribosomal RNA
Source: RNAcentral
GAUGAACGCUGGCGGCGUGCCUAAUACAUGCAAGUCGAGCGAACGGACGAGAAGCUUGCUUCUCUGAUGUUAGCGGCGGACGGGUGAGUAACACGUGGAUAACCUACCUAUAAGACUGGGAUAACUUCGGGAAACCGGAGCUAAUACCGGAUAAUAUUUUGAACCGCAUGGUUCAAAAGUGAAAGACGGUCUUGCUGUCACUUAUAGAUGGAUCCGCGCUACAUUAGCUAGUUGGUAAGGUAACGGCUUACCAAGGCAACGAUGCAUAGCCGACCUGAGAGGAUGAUCGGCCACACUGGAACUGAGACACGGUCCAGACUCCUACGGGAGGCAGCAGUAGGGAAUCUUCCGCAAUGGGCGAAAGCCUGACGGAGCAACGCCGCGUGAGUGAUGAAGGUCUUCGGAUCGUAAAACUCUGUUAUUAGGGAAGAACAUAUGUGUAAGUAACUGUGCACAUCUUGACGGUACCUAAUCAGAAAGCCACGGCUAACUACGUG